CUACGGGAGGCAGCAGUGGGGAAUUUUGGACAAUGGGGGCAACCCUGAUCCAGCAAUGCCGCGUGUGUGAAGAAGGCCUUCGGGUUGUAAAGCACUUUUGUCUGGAAAGAAACAGCAUAGGCUAAUAUCCUGUGUGAAUGACGGUACCAGAAGAAUAAGCACCGGCUAACUACGUGCCAGCAGCCGCGGUAAUACGUAGGGUGCAAGCGUUAAUCGGAAUUACUGGGCGUAAAGCGUGCGCAGGCGGUUUUGUAAGACAGGCGUGAAAUCCCCGGGCUUAACCUGGGAAUGGCGUUUGUGACUGCAAGACUAGAGUGUGUCAGAGGGGGGUAGAAUUCCACGUGUAGCAGUGAAAUGCGUAGAGAUGUGGAGGAACACCGAUGGCGAAGGCAGCCCCCUGGGAUAACACUGACGCUCAUGCACGAAAGCGUGGGGAGCAAACAGGAUUAGAUACCCUGGUAGUCCACGCCCUAAACGAUGCCGACUAGUUGUUGGGAAUUUAUUUUUUCAGUAACGAAGCUAACGC
This 526-nucleotide ribosomal RNA is filed under the name uncultured bacterium. RNAcentral describes it as "bacterial SSU rRNA". It matches the Rfam family "Bacterial small subunit ribosomal RNA", at positions 339 to 858 of the family's 1533-position model. The record is from RNAcentral.